Long non-coding RNA from Raphanus sativus (radish), 520 nucleotides. RefSeq lists it as uncharacterized. The transcript has 3 exons. The record is from RefSeq and is a predicted model, not a curated record. Lineage: Eukaryota; Viridiplantae; Streptophyta; Magnoliopsida; Brassicales; Brassicaceae.
CCUCAUACUCAUUAUCUUCAUAAUCCUUAGCCGGAUAUUCAUAAUCUCUAUAAAACCAUGGAUAAUACCCGUCUUCUUUGAAUUAAAACCACAAACACUCUCUCAUAUUCAUAAUCUUUAUCUCCUCACUUAUCAUUGUGUCAGAAUGAAUCAAUCUUCGGUGGAAAAACCUUCACAGGGGCCGUACAUGAGUCCGCCGCCGAUUGGUUAUCCGACCAGAGAUGUGGCUGGUGCGGAUCCUGUGGUAGCCAAAGUGGAGACCGAGUCCAAAGGCGAAGAAGAAGGGUGUUCUUGUUGUAAAGUUAUUAAGACGGUCUGCUUCUGUUACCAUAUUUACCACUGUUUCUGCUAGUGAUGAGAUCGGAGUCAACGGUUUCAUGCACUUAUUGGUGUUAUAUAUAUAUAUAUAUAUUUGAUGAUUAUUGUGUUACUUAAUUUCAGCUUUGUGCGAGAUGUAUUGUUCUCUUUGUUGUGUUUUACAUAAGUGAUCAUAUAUAUAUAAGUCAAUUUGGUUUGUGAA